AUGGAGAGGAAUUUACCCUGCCAUGCCGCCAUCCUCGUCGGUGGCCUUUCCCUCCUGACCCCAACACCAUCAUCCCCGCCGACCCAUCUCAGUAAGGCCGGCAACUCCAGCGCCUCCGAGACCUCAGACACGGGCGUGAGUGGCUCGUCGGCGCUGGACCUCCUCUGCCCGAUGACCUUGUGCCAGCUCAGGCGUAGCAGCUGGCCCGUGUUCCAUCUUCAGAGGAGUAGAGAGGCGGUCAAGGAGGAGGGGAUGGCGGAGGGCCGGAGCUUGGCUAGGAACGGGGAGGAGAAGUGGCGGCGGAGGGAUGCCGGAGAACGAUCCGGAGACGGCGGAGGUUGCGUGCCUGAGAAAGGCUGA
This 360-nucleotide ribosomal RNA is filed under the name Triticum aestivum (bread wheat). RNAcentral describes it as "partial small subunit ribosomal RNA". Lineage: Eukaryota; Viridiplantae; Streptophyta; Magnoliopsida; Poales; Poaceae. The record is from RNAcentral.